Picea glauca (white spruce) is the source of this 121-nucleotide non-coding RNA. NCBI's taxonomy places the organism in Eukaryota, Viridiplantae, Streptophyta, Pinopsida, Pinales, Pinaceae. The record is from Rfam.
ACAUGCCUACAUCAUAGCGUUAAUCCACCGGAUCCCAUUAGAAAUCCGCAGUUAAGUGCGCUCAGGCUAGAGUAGUACUGGGAUGGGUGACCGCCCAAGAAGUCCUAGUGUUUUACAUGCC